CUAUUAUUUAAGGUGUAAAUGUAUUAAAUUUGAGUAGUAUUAGUUAGUUUCUUAAAACUCAAAGAAUUUGGCGGUGUUUUAGUCUAUUCAGAGGAAUCUGUCCUGUAAUUGAUAAUUCACGAGUAAUUUAACUUAGUUUUGUAUUAUUCAGCUUGUAUAUCGCCGUCAUCAGAUCAUUUUUGAAGAAUUGUAAUUUUCUUAGAAUUAAUUAGAUUAUAUGUCAGGUCAAGGUGCAGUUUAUAAUUAAGAAGGAGAUGGAUUACAAUAAAUUUAUUUAUUAUGGAUAUUGGGUUGUUAUAUUCAAUUGAAGGUGGAUUUGAUAGUAAUUUUAUUUAUUGGUGAUUUGAUUUUAGCUCUAAAACA
RNAcentral lists this ribosomal RNA (363 nucleotides) under Stenopelmatus cusuco. Its description in RNAcentral is "Stenopelmatus sp. 1 AGV-2020 partial small subunit ribosomal RNA". The record is from RNAcentral. Lineage: Eukaryota; Metazoa; Arthropoda; Insecta; Orthoptera; Stenopelmatidae.